GGGGUUGUGGCUCAGUGGUAGAGCACUCGCCUAGCAUGUGUGAGGCAUUGGGUUCAAUUCUCAGCACCACA
RNAcentral lists this transfer RNA (71 nucleotides) under Marmota monax (woodchuck). RNAcentral's name for it is "tRNA.Ala". It matches the Rfam family "tRNA". Rfam says of the family: Transfer RNA (tRNA) molecules are approximately 80 nucleotides in length. Their secondary structure includes four short double-helical elements and three loops (D, anti-codon, and T loops). The record is from RNAcentral. Lineage: Eukaryota; Metazoa; Chordata; Mammalia; Rodentia; Sciuridae.